UUGGGGAAGAUGGUUGCCAACAAAUGCUUAGAUUGAAUAGUGCCCUAGCCUAACUAUAGAGCUGCCUCUCGAUUAGUUAGGUGACCUCUUAAGGCAUCAUGCUGUAGUCUUGCCUCUCUUGUAUCCUUGCUGUCACAGUGAGUAUCAACCAGGGUAUUUUUUUUUGUUUUAGUUUUGCCGAAGACCUUAUCAACUCUAUAGCCACCUCUAGUGAUAAUAUAAUGUGUUUUUUUGUUGUUGCUUGUAUUAGCCUGUGGUAAUGUUUGGCAUUAACAAUUUACAGUAGCCUGUCCCACUCAAAG
Non-coding RNA from Pelobates cultripes (western spadefoot toad), 302 nucleotides. The record is from the annotation of a GenBank genome assembly. NCBI's taxonomy places the organism in Eukaryota, Metazoa, Chordata, Amphibia, Anura, Pelobatidae.